AGCAGCCGCGGUAAUUCCAGCUCCAAUAGCGUAUAUUAAAGUUGUUGCAGUUAAAAGCUCGUAGCUGAAUUUCGGGAUUGACACAUCGGUCGUGCCUUAAGGGGUAUGAACUGGUGUAGUCAAUUUCUCACCUUCUGGAGAACCGCGAUGCCCUUAAUUGGGUGUCACGGGGAACCAGGACCUUUACUUGAAAAAUUAGAGUGUUUAAAGCAGGCAUUUUGCUUGAAUACAUUAGCAUGGAAUAAUAAAAUAGGACGGCAUGAUUCUAUUUUGUUGGUUUCUAGGAUCACCGCAAUGAUUAAUAGGGAUAGUUGGGGGCAUUAGUAUUCAAUUGUCAGAGGUGAAAUUCUUGGAUUUAUUGAAGACUAACUACUGCGAAAGCAUUUGCCAAGGAUGUUUCAUUAAUCAAGAACGAAAGUUAGGGGAUCGAAGACGAUCAGAUACCGUCGUAGUCUUAACCAUAAACUAUGCCGACUAGGGGAUCGGAUGAUGUUAAUUUUUUUAAUGACUCAUUCGGCGC
RNAcentral lists this ribosomal RNA (520 nucleotides) under uncultured Entrophospora. Its description in RNAcentral is "SSU rRNA". It matches the Rfam family "Eukaryotic small subunit ribosomal RNA", at positions 569 to 1086 of the family's 1831-position model. The record is from RNAcentral. Lineage: Eukaryota; Fungi; Glomeromycota; Glomeromycetes; Entrophosporales; Entrophosporaceae.